GGACCCUAGCGCUCUUCGUGCUAUCUUCUUCUUCUCCCUGCUCUGUGAAUCAUCAUUUCGAACAACUUGAACAAAACCCUCAUCUGCGAAUCCUCUGCUCAUCGAUUUGAACAAAACCCUCCUCUGCGAAUCGUCUCCUGUGCAAAUCCUCUACUAAGCCAUUUGAACGAAACCCUUCAUCUACGACCUGUUAGCUCAAAUUCGAACGAAACCUAUAAGAAGAAACAAGUAAUUUGCUCCCAAGCCCAUGUUAUACCCUGGCAAGUGAUUGGGCAUCAAGCAGGACUCUUUUUGUAUAUGUGAUCAAAAGCAUCUUCAAUUGCAUUGUUAAUCGUAGCCAUUAUUAUAUAUCAGAUUCCAAGGAAUGAAGUUGUGAACAUGAAAGAAUUCCAAAAAACAUUCUACUUUAAACAUUGAAUCAUUGAUCCUUACGCCACUCAAAAGGAAAAUGUCUUGCAUUGCUGUCAGCUCAUUUAGAAAAAAUGCAUUUUAUAGUUCAACAAUGAGAAGAAGAAGAUCGUAAGGGAGGUCACAGAGGAAGGAGAGAAGGGAGAAGAAGAAGAUAGCAAAAUGAGUGCUAGGGUCCUCUUUCAUCCUUCGAAAGGGUUUUGUUCGAAGAUAGCAAGAGAUCUGGUUUGUGUAGUGCACUGUCUUCCCGAUCUAUGACAUGUGUCCAACAACACGUGUCAUCAUCUAACCAGGUCUCUGCCAGUAUCCGCCAAUAUCCCUUAGAGUAGACGAUUUUAAUCCGGAUAUGUUAGCAUAGUCCGCCGCAUUUCCUGUAGACCUAAGCCAUUAUUUCAUACAUUGAUUUUAUGUUUUGUUCAUGAUUUUAAUCUAAUUUUAUGGUGGAAUCUUAUUCUCAAAUGACAUCUCUAUUCUAUUCAUCCAUAUCAUUUUUUUUUUUUUAAGUUCUACUUGUGUUGGUUAGGUUUCAAUAUCAAUUCCACUGUCUAUUUAAUA
Molecule: long non-coding RNA, 963 nt
Organism: Macadamia integrifolia
Lineage: Eukaryota; Viridiplantae; Streptophyta; Magnoliopsida; Proteales; Proteaceae
Exons: 2
Source: RefSeq, a predicted model, not a curated record